Molecule: ribosomal RNA, 375 nt
Filed under: uncultured bacterium
Lineage: Bacteria
Description: bacterial SSU rRNA
Rfam family: Bacterial small subunit ribosomal RNA
Source: RNAcentral
UACGUAGGGGGCGAGCGUUGUCCGGAAUUACUGGGCGUAAAGGGUGCGUAGGCGGUGAGAUAAGAUAGAUGUGAAAUCCCCGGGCUUAACUCGGGUAUUGCAUUUGUGACUGUCUUGCUAGAGUGCAGGAGAGGAAAGCGGAAUUCCUAGUGUAGCGGUGAAAUGCGUAGAUAUUAGGAGGAACACCGGUGGCGAAGGCGGCUUUCUGGACUGUAACUGACGCUGAAGCACGAAAGCGCGGGGAGCAAACAGGAUUAGAUACCCUGGUAGUCCACGCUGUAAACGAUGGAUACUAGGUGUAGGGCCCGAAUUGGGUUCUGUGCCGCAGUUAACGCAGUAAGUAUCCCGCCUGGGGAGUACGACCGCAAGGUUGAA